AGAAUCAACGCUGGCGGCGUGCCUAACACAUGCAAGUCGAACGCGAAAGCCCCGCAAGGGGUCAGUAGAGUGGCAAACGGGUGAGUAACACGUGGGUGACCUGCCUCAGAGUGGGGAUAACGACCCGAAAGGGUCGCUAAUACCGCAUAACAUCCUGCCUUUGGAUAGGUGGAGAUCAAAGUUGGGUUCCGCAAGGACCUGACGCUUGGAGAGGGGCCCGCGGCCGAUUAGCUAGUUGGUGAGGUAACGCUCACCAAGGCAACGAUCGGUA
This 271-nucleotide ribosomal RNA is filed under the name uncultured soil bacterium. RNAcentral's name for it is "partial 16S ribosomal RNA". It matches the Rfam family "Bacterial small subunit ribosomal RNA", at positions 26 to 285 of the family's 1533-position model. The record is from RNAcentral.